Molecule: ribosomal RNA, 798 nt
Filed under: bacterium 101_oclvp44
Lineage: Bacteria
Also listed under: 1 other name
Description: bacterial SSU rRNA
Rfam family: Bacterial small subunit ribosomal RNA
Source: RNAcentral
CUAUACAUGCAGUCGAGGGGUAGAGGUUGCUUGCAACCUUGAGACCGGCGCACGGGUGCGUAACGCGUAUGCAACCUACCUUGAUCUGGGGGAUAGCCCGAAGAAAUUCGGAUUAACACCGCAUAAAAUCACAGUACCGCAUGGUACAAUGAUCAAAUAUUUAUAGGAUUGAGAUGGGCAUGCGUGUCAUUAGUUAGUUGGCGGGGUAACGGCCCACCAAGACCGCGAUGACUAGGGGAUCUGAGAGGAUGGCCCCCCACACUGGUACUGAGACACGGACCAGACUCCUACGGGAGGCAGCAGUAAGGAAUAUUGGUCAAUGGAGGCAACUCUGAACCAGCCAUGCCGCGUGCAGGAAGACAGCCCUCUGGGUCGUAAACUGCUUUUAUUCGGGAAUAAACCUACUUACGUGUAAGUAGCUGAAUGUACCGAAGGAAUAAGGAUCGGCUAACUCCGUGCCAGCAGCCGCGGUAAUACGGAGGAUCCAAGCGUUAUCCGGAUUUAUUGGGUUUAAAGGGUGCGUAGGCGGCCUGUUAAGUCAGGGGUGAAAGACGGUAGCUCAACUAUCGCAGUGCCCUUGAUACUGAUGGGCUUGAAUACACUAGAGGUAGGCGGAAUGUGACAAGUAGCGGUGAAAUGCAUAGAUAUGUCACAGAACACCGAUNGCGAAGGCAGCUUACUAUGGUGUCAUUGACGCUGAGGCACGAAAGCGUGGGGAUCAAACAGGAUUAGAUACCCUGGUAGUCCACGCCCUAAACGAUGAAUACUCGCUGUUAGCGAUAUACAGUUAGCGGCUAA